RNAcentral lists this long non-coding RNA (293 nucleotides) under Selaginella moellendorffii. Its description in RNAcentral is "long non-coding RNA (SMOE_LNC000941)". The record is from RNAcentral. Lineage: Eukaryota; Viridiplantae; Streptophyta; Lycopodiopsida; Selaginellales; Selaginellaceae.
CAAGGAAUAAUUUUGUACACUACACACCAUGGGAGCUGACUUGCUGUUCAUCCGUUCGCCCCGUCCACCGAGUUGAUGACAAGCUUAACAAACAAGUUCGUCGUCAUCGCUCCCUUGACAGGUAAAACUCGUUUUGUUUUUGUUCUUUCUCUCCACUGUGCUCGUUUUGUUUGCAGCAAGAGCUCAUCUCACCGGACGCACUCGAAACCCCGGCAAAUUCCCAGCCAGAUGACAAACAAAAGAAUGCACACCGCUACGUCCACCAGCAGCACCAACUUGACAGUCCUCCACCA